AACAGGCCCCGCGCGUAGCGGGACGGCUGCGUUGCUUGUCGCGCUUUCCGAGUCCAGUUUUCUGUAGCUGAGUUUCCGUCUCCUCGCGAAGGAGCCGAGGAAGGGAACCACGCCUUCUCGCUUCUCGUCCGUGUCUUAAAACAAUCAAAACCUAGGCUUCCAGUUGGCUGGGAGGAGGGCUUGGGAGACGCGACGCGGUUUUGUUUUCCCUGUUCACUUAUUAAUUGGGGCCACGUUUAUGGGUGCGGGCUGGCGGUCCUAGAGAUGACAGAUAGCUCUGUCCUGCAGGUGCAGACGGCGAGCAGAAGGACUCACGAGUGACGGUCGUAGUCGUUCUGGACUGUGAAGCUGUUGGAUAUUGUAUCCAGCUUGAUGUAUGAGUGUGUACGCCCGACCGUCUCAGGGGUCCCGUGGCAGGUCUGGCAAGCCUAGAGAGGUCAGGUAACCACAGAGCAUACCUGGUCAGAGCAUACCUGAACCCGCCUCUCCCCUCGUUCUUAUGCAUUCAGGAUAACAUACUUCUGAAAUGUCAAAGUUUUCUUUUCCAGGUAACUUGGGAGCAGAUUCACUGGCAACAGUCUGUCAACACGGAAAGCCCUUUCAUUGCUUUCAUGUUGUCAAUAGACCAUCUCAGUUCCCGAUGUCGGAUGUUAACCGUCCUGCACUCACCAAUGUUGAAGCCAAACUCAAGUUGCUAACUCGACUUUCAGGCUGUGAUGGUCAGAAACGGCUGUCUUUUUUUUUUUUUUUUUUUUGGAGGACAGGUAUGGUAAGAUCCUUAAUCCUAGGGUGUUGUAAAAUUUUUAUUUGGCUAGUUACUGAGAUCCUAUAAUGGUAUAUGAAACUGGGACACUGAAAAAGUAUAAGAAUGAGUAUGGAUUAAAAUUAAAAAAUUAAAUCCAUGGUAUUCACAUACUUGUAACCAGUUUGAUAUAUAUUUAGUUUGUUAUUACAUUAAGUGGGUCCUUUUUGCUUUUAAGAUAAAACUUUAAGGGAUCUUUUAUAUCAGACUUGAGAUUUUAAAUUCUUAUAAGUGCUAACUCAACAUUGGAAUAUCCAUUUUAAGGCAUGUGUUAAUUUAUUGAAUGUGCUAAGGGGUUAUCCUGUUUCCACCAUAGCUGGACAUUGGCUGUUUAGGAAAAAAUCCUAAAGGAGAUUUUCUUUGUUCCUAGUGAGCACUUUUUCCCUCAGAAAAAUAAAGUUCUUUCACAGGUACCAGAAGGCUAGGUAUUUCAGCUUUGUAAUCAGCCUUGUUCUUGGUAUAGAAGUCUGCUACUGUUUGUAUUGCGUGUGUGUAGUGCGUAGUUUGCAUGUGUCUGUCUAUAAGCCACAUAAGGCAUUUCUCUAGAGGAACCUAAUCAAUUAUUUCUCUAGGUUAUCAAUGGCUAACUCUUAAAACCUUCAGGCCUCACUUGAAGAGAAAUUGAAGUAAUUUUGUACCAAACACUCAAAUUUUACCAGGUAAUUUAGGAAAGAGUGCAAAACGCCAUGGCUUAAAAUGAUCUAAUAGUUGGCCAGUUCACCAUGUUUCCUGUAUAAACAAAAAUUUUAAGUUAGUGAAUUUUGGUUGCCAUUAUUGACAGAAGAUAGUACAUUUCAGUUGUUAGUUUAAGAUAUUAAAAAAGGUGGUAUAUUCCAGAGUUCACAUUUCAGUCACUUCUCAUGAGCCAAGCCAGACUUUAUAAUUUUCCAAAUAGAAAGCUCAUGGUUUUUCUGGAAGCAGGACAAGGUUGCAAACCAGCCUUUCAAUGAAGAAAAUUAAAACAAUCAAAAGCUUAGGGAUUAAAAAAAAAGUAGGGAAGAAAAGGAGAAAAGCUUAGGGAUUAAGCUUCCCCUGAUAUCAUGUGGGUAUACAGAAAUAUUACAGGUAAGAGAUUUCUGAGUUUAUCCAGAUUCUGAACACAUGUAAGAUUUAAGCAACACUAAAUUAAAUUAGUAGCAUGGCAUAUCCCACCCUCUCUUAAUGGCUUCCAACUAGAAAAUUGUAGGGCAAUUAAAUGCUGUUUCCAUUAAAAAUCUCAUUUUACUUAGAAAUAAGAAUUCUGACAGCCCAUUAAAAUACAAACUCUUUUACAGAAAAAUCAGAUAUUCCACUUUACAAAACAGUUAAAUUACAAAGUAAUCCAGUUCCUUUCUGGUUCCUUUAGUUUAAAUAGUAAAUGAUUCUAAUGAAUGCAAAAUUUCAGACUUACCUUUUUCCAGGAAUACAGCAAUUGCAUGAUGAAUAAAACUCCUUUUUGAUGUAUUUAUAUGGCAGUGUCUUAGGCCAUUCAAACCUGAUCCCAGUUGUGGAGCUGAGGAAUGUUUUGUGUUUUACAGGCAUGCAGAUAGGAGCACAGAGCUACAGUGAUGGAGGAAGGAAAGGAAUUCAGUUCUCCUGGGCCAGCGGCUUUAGAAAGGGCUGUGCUGAGCAUCACCACCUCAUUGGUUCCCAGUCACAGUGUGCAGGGAACCCUUGUGUCAGCAUGAUGAAACCUCAUGGGAAAGAAUGAUAUCUGUAGUUGGCAGAAGUCUCCAAGAUGCUGUUGUUCUAUUAGCCCUCAUCAGCAUGAUAUGAGUGCUGUCACACACAAACACACACAUACCCUGUGCAUCACCAAUGUCUGAGUGCUGUUGGUCAGAGCCCGUGGAGAUCAGCCCAGGUGAGUUGAAUUAUAGCUGAUGAAUGCUUUGGUGGUAAAUGUUUUGUUCUUCUCCACAGAUUACAUAUGUCCAUAUGGUUGACAUGUUUCCAGGAACUUUUUCUGCUUUUGUUUGUCUGUUUUGCUGUCAUUUCUACAUUGAGCCAUUGUUUUUUUCUGGUACAACAUUUGAUAUAAAAAUCAGGGAACUGACAGGCUGAUGCACAUGUGUAGCUUAAAAACAACACUGUCACCUGACUUAUUUUUUGCUUGCUUCCACCUUUUUCCAAGCAUUUGAUUAUCCUUAGAAACAUCUUGAAAUUUAAAAAAACAUAUAUGUUUAUGGAUGAAAAGAUGUUUAUCAGCAUGCACAUAUAACAAGGGACAGAAACUGCCUCCAGAAGAAAUUAUACAAAUCUGUUAAUUUAUUACAAAAUGUCCACUCACAGAAAACCGCAAGAAAACAUUUAUAUUUGAGAAAGGAACUGUGUCUCAGGUACAAAAUAAUUCACAUAUAAUUCAUACAAUUUUAUAUAGAAAUAGGUCAUUAUUACAACAGCUGUACUACACUUCAACUUGUAAUUACAUAAACUCUUUUCUUUAGAAACA
Phyllostomus discolor (pale spear-nosed bat) is the source of this 3230-nucleotide long non-coding RNA. RefSeq lists it as uncharacterized. The record is from RefSeq and is a predicted model, not a curated record. NCBI's taxonomy places the organism in Eukaryota, Metazoa, Chordata, Mammalia, Chiroptera, Phyllostomidae. The transcript is spliced from 3 exons.